Molecule: long non-coding RNA, 6653 nt
Organism: Oreochromis niloticus (Nile tilapia)
Lineage: Eukaryota; Metazoa; Chordata; Actinopteri; Cichliformes; Cichlidae
Exons: 3
Source: RefSeq, a predicted model, not a curated record
UUUUCACACAGCUGAAUAAACGGCAAACAGAAAACUGAUUAAACAGAAGUAUGAGAUUGUCGAGAAUUUACACCAGUGUCCUGUUAUAGUUUAGAUAGCAAGGAGCAAACGGCCGAGUUUAUUAAACUCCAUCGAGACAGCGGUGACGCUAAUCUGAAGACUACACCGUCCAAUUUCACAGCCGUUUACUUCCGGCCUUCCCGACCUUCUGAGGACCCGGCCCACGACUAUACACACAGACAAGCUCACGCAUGCACGCUUAAGACUGCCACGUAAUUUAUUGAACUGUGUAUUGCUGCUGUGGCACUUUUACCACCAGAAGAUGCUGUUAGUGAACUCUAAUUUCUUUUUCUGUCAGCUUGUUGUUGUUUGUGGCAUUACAAACAUGCAAUGCCAACAGGAAGUUGCAGAGUGCCCUCUGGUAAAUGGUAAAUGGUAAAUGGCCUGCAUUUGUAUAGUGCUUUACUCAGUCCCUAAGGACCCCAAAGCGCUUUACACUACAUUCAGUCAUUCACCCAUUCACACACACAUUCACACACUGGCAAUGGCAAGCUACAUUGUUUCUUGCUGAUGUAACAUCAGCAGUCAUAACAUGGUCCAAGGGUGUUUGUCCUAUCAGUACUUUUUAUCGGAUUUUCAUAUCUUGUCAGUUAUAAAUUCCAAUACCAGUAGCUUUUCAAAUAGCUACUAGAAGUCAGUAAUUUAAGCCCAUUGGUUUGCCUUUACAACACAUCAUGUUGGACAUUAACAAGCAUGAGAAUUUAUUUGGUUCAUAAAUGUGAUAGAGGUGUGGUGUUUUGAGGAUGACAAAAAAUGAAAACUAUCAGUCUGCAUUGACCAAUCAGCUAUUCAGUUAAUUAUUUCAGCUAUACUGCACAGUAUCUGUGCUUCCUAUUUCCACCUAAAUGUAAAAACAGGUAACGAGCUGAAAAUUUUGAAAAAAUUGGGCUAUCUAACUUUUGGUGUUUAACAACUAAAAUGGUGGCCUUGUUAAACAGUGGAUGACUCUAUCCACCUGUGUGUGUAUGUGUGUGUGUGUUAUAUACAUAUUUUUUAAUGUAAUCAGAUUUAACAAGUAGCUAGGCCUGUGAAUGACAUAUAGCAAAAAGUGCUAUGUUGAUACAGUUCUCUAAACAAGUCUUGAGUCAUGCCUCAUUGCUUUAUGUUUUGCUUGUUUUGUUACACUUUCUUACAUUUCUUUUUCUUUUUUUUCUUUCUUUUUUUACAAGUGGCCUUGAGCAGUAGCGCUCCUGGCUUUGUGAAGCCCUUUCAAAGUUUUUCUUUGUCGGUUUUCCUUUUUUAAGCCACUUAACACUGACCUAUGAAUCAUUCAUGCAUAAAAAGGCACCUAACUCAAGGGAUGAGGCAUCGUUGUCUGCAUGUAAUACACAACAGAGAACCAAUUUUAAAGUGUAUCUUUAGGCAUUUUGUUACUAGCAGCCAGUUGCAGAACACAUUUGUUCCAAUUUCUUCAGCAGAAUCUACUAAAAAAUGGAGAAGAAAAGUUUGACAGGCAUAAAAUUGUAUUUUUGCUCCAACGAGGUGAUUAUCAAAGCGGCAUUAACCAGCAGCUUGGUAUAUCUCAGCAUGGUGCACUGUGUAUCUUUAAAAUAUUUAUUGAAAUUGGACAGGUGGAAGACAAAAGAAGAAGAGGCAGGCAGAAAAAGCUGCAGCAAAUGAACUGUAUCUGAAAAUCAUAUCUUUAAGAAAUAGGAAAAACUUUAGGAAAGACCUGAAAUAGGAUAUGAGAGAUGUCUCUUUAGGAAAUUUACAGAUUACUGAAGCCUCAUCACAAAUGCUCUAAAGGGAAAGGCUGAGGUGUACCAAUUAUACAAGAACUGGGCUGUAAACAGGUCCUGUGGUCAGUAUGUAUGUAUGGGAGUGUCUACAGCCAUCUGUAAAACACAAUGGAGGCUAUGCCAUGGUUUGAUGGCGGAAUUCCAGCCAGUGGUGUUGGGGAUCUUGUCAGAUUUGACGGUAUUGUGAGUGCUGAAAAGUACCAUUAGAUUUUGAUUCACCAUCUGUAAUACCAUCUGACCUAAAUGUUAUUGAAGCGGUGUCAGAGCAUUUUGACAGACAACAGAACAAAAGGCAGUCAACAUCCAAAGAAAAGCUUUGAAUGGCCUUGAAGAAGCCCAGAGAACUGCUAGAUGAAAGCUUGCCCGAAAGAGUUCAGGCUGUGUUGCAGAAUAAAGGUGGUCAUACUAAAUAUUGACUUUGAAGUUUGGUAGGAUUAUACAAGGCCCUUAUUUGCAUCAUAUGCAGUAUUUCUGUAUGUAUCCUAUUUCUCAUUUUCCUGGCAAAAUAUAAAGAAAGUAGUGGUGAUGCCACACUUUUGCACAGCACUAUAUUUCUGUGCAUCCCCCCCAACUUCUGCAGCUUCUUAUACGCAGUAGGAUUGUUCAAAUCUGGCUUUUCAAAUGACCAUUUAGUGCUGGUUAUUGCAAAGAGAAAUCCUUUCUUCUUUUCAAGGGUAGCAGGGAAGAAAACUGUAACAUCCAAAUGGUUGUGGCAAAGGACUCCAGGCUCAGUGGUGGAACAUACAUCUUUAGAAAUUGUGCAUUUCCAUUUUAUGCCACAGUCCAAAAUGUCUCCCCCCCCCCCUUUUAAUGCAUUUUUACUGCAGAAUUUAGGGUUGUGAGAAUAAUUGCACAGAUCCACAUCCAAAGUCAUAUUUAAUCACUCUAAUUGAAAACCAUGUGGUGAAUGACUGCUUUAAGUCUUAGACAUCAGCAGACACUUUGUGUUUUCCCUGUAGAUGCUCCCACAGACUUUUACUGCAGACACCUGGAGUUCUCUCUACCUUUUCUCUGCCUUCACUUUUCAAGGUACAGUGCAUCCAAGUGUCCAAUUACCUUUAAACAGCGACACUAGAAGGACCAUAACUGUUAAACUCUGGAAUGUAUUUUACUCCACUGUAUUUUUAUUACAGUAUUUCUUAGACUACAUUUAAUUCUAAGUGUCACAACCUGGGCUCUGUAGGCUCAGUGUCAAAGUAGGCCUUACACAAGUGCAAGGAGCAAGGUUUUCCAGCAGAAGAUUGCACUGAAACAAGAUAAGCAGUUAAUCGUCUUGUUGUCAUUGUGGCUUACAUGAUAUUUAUUUAUACAUGUAAGACGCAUAGCCCUAUGAUAUUUAUAUAUAGGACUAUGUAUUUCACUCAGAAUACUUAAGAUACUUUUUCUUAUGUCCAUUUGUAAUGUAGGUCCUGGUAAAAUAUGUUUUCACUUGGAAGUGAAUAUUCCCCACCGCUCUGCACUUUGCAGAUAUUAUUCUGUUAUUCCCACAGACUGCAUAAUUUUUUUCUUCCAAGUUGAAGGCAAAGGAACUUGCAUUUUCCUGCUGCCCUAUUUCUGCUAAGAGAGGGCAAAGCGAGAACAUUACCCCCACAGCAAAGAGAGGAUUUGUUUCUAUUGCUUGUUCUGGAAGAAGUGAUUGAGUCAAACACAUUCCUACCAAAACUGCUUUAAACUGUGCAGAGCCAAUACAGGCUUAUAUUUGUCACAGAAAACACUGACCCGAGGGUACAUUUCAGCUAGUUUGGUUUUGGCCUGUGAGUUUGUGGGGGUGUUUGAACUGGAAAUGAAACCCCCUCCCCGUGCAUGAAGAGAUGAAAAACAGAAUUGCGUACAUCCGGCCAGGUUUCAGAAACCUGAAAGGUCAGAUCUGAGUUUCUUCCUGUGCUGAUUUUAUGCCAAGAAGUUAGGCAGUCCAUUUACCUGUCUCUACAUAUUAAAUAUAAAUGUGUCUUUUGGAAGACUUUUUAUAAUGAAAGCUUUGCAAUUCAGCAUUAUAAAGGUCUUUAGACUAAGUGAACAUGAUAAGUGUCACGACUGGGGCAGCAGUCAUGUGGUGGAGGACCCAAGAUGCAAGAAACGGCUAGAUGCAGGUGAGCGUUUUAUUUACAAAUGGUGAAAUAUACACAGAAACGAGGGUGGCGAGGACUGCCGGAACAGAACAAAACAAGAGCCCCCCCAGGAAUCCAAACAAAAUGUCCAAAAUGCACACAGGGGAGCAGAGUCCGAAUUAUAGUUCAGGUGGCCGGCCCGGGGGCUGAUAGUGUGAAAGCUCACACAGCUCUGGUGGCCGGCCCAGAGGUUGCCAGCCCAAGAGCCCAGAGUGAAACAGUUCAGGGGGUCAGCCAAGCAGAAGGCAGUGGCGGCGAGAGAGCAGAUCCAGGGCCGGCCACACGGAAGGCAGCGGCGGCGACAGAGCAGGUCCGGAGGCCGGCCGUGCGUAGGGCAACGGAGGCGAAACAGCGGUGGCGGCAACACCGUUCAAGAGGGCGUCCACGAUGGCGAUGAUGACCAGCCAGCGGCCUAGAAGAUGGCCGGCGAUGUUGAGGCGCCAGACGCGGACCGGAUGGCGGCGUGGCAGCAGCAGUACCAGGCGAGGAUGAGGCUGAAGCUGCAUCCGAGGCUGAAGCUGAUGCUGAAGCUGGACCCGACGAGGCAGAAGCUGAGGCAGAGGCUGGACCAAGCGAAGCUGAAGCUGAUGCAGAGGCGGGACCGGGCGAAGCUAAAACUGCUGCAGGCGUGGAUGACGAGGCUGCUGCAGGCGAGGGUGAUGCUGCAGACGAUGGCGUGGGAGCUGCAGGUGGUGGCACUGCAGGCGACGGUGAUGGAUCGGACCCUCCAGCGAAAACAGUCACAGAACCACGGAGGCCUCUGGCAAACACUGUCAUGGUCUGGGUGUGUGGCUGUAAAAUUCCAUCGAAGGUCUGGACCUCCCUGGUAUCCACCCAUGGGCAGGGCCUACAGCCUCCCUCACCUGAAGCUGAUUGAGGCAAUCAGGACGGAGAUUUAAGCUGCUGGCUGACACUGCUUCCUCGCCAGUUCGUCAACUACCCUAUUUACUCCAGGAAAACUCCAUCACACCGGACCACUCAUCUUGGAAAUCUGGUUGAACCGCCAGCCCACGGAAUCAUCUCCUUGCCUCACCUGCCUGUCCUCCUGCCCUUACACCACCUCGGGACCUUCACCACUCAGGACAGCUGCCACAUACCACCUAACUCACCUGGACCACACCACCUCUCCCUCAACGCUUCCAUCUCCCACCUGCACAUACGUACCUAAUCACCAGCAGCUGCUGUUGCUCUCUCGGACCUGUCCCCGUGCUUAUCCCUCUCCCCUGGCCAAGACCCUUACGCCUCACAUAUCAAGCUGUAAAUCUAGUACUAACGUGAACGUCAUUUUGGCGUUAGUCAAUAAACCUUUGUUAAACCCUUUACUCUGCCUCCGCCUUGGGUUUCCUGCACGUGGGUUUGAUUUUGGUGCUCGGCCUUCGGCCGUUCUGUGACAAACACAAAGCCGAACCAGCAGGCACAUGGGCCUCUGGAAAACACAGAGCAGAACCAGUAGGCGCGCAGGCCUCUGGCAGGGACAAAACAGAACCAGCAGGCACAUGGGCCUCUGGCAAACACAGAGCAGAAUGCAGCUGCGUGGAGCACUGACCCUGCUCAGGCAGCGACAGCCAGGUGCAGUCCUCAGCUGGGUUCUUAGCCUGCAGGGGUCCAGAGUGGGCUGAGGGCUGAAACUCAGCCUCUGGGGAGGCCCUGGAGUGAGUCACAGCCAGCUUUUGAGGAACCUUUCCAUUGUUAACAGGUUUGUCUCUCUGCUCAGAAACAGUGGUUGAAAAACAGUCCUUUGAGGGUUGUGCUGACCUAGCCCUAAUAACAGGAGAAGGUAAAGGCAGGAUAGGUGGUGCAGCUAAUGACUGAACUGAGGAGUGAACUAAUGGGUGGACAGUAGACUGUGCAGGAGAGAGAACUACAGGCUGGGAAGUAAGUGACACAAAGUUACCAGGGUCACGAUAAACAGAGUCACUAGAAAUUAAUUUGGGCUUAGAAGAGGCAAAACAAAUAGAGUCCUUAAUAGAGCGUGCAUUAGAAUGCAAAGCAGUCUCAGAAGAAAGAGUCUUUACACCACUUGGCUCCGGAGGGACAAAAGUUGCACAGUCUUUAGAGCCCAGAGAGGUGUAAUUAUUCUCAAAAUGAACACUCCUUUUAUUAUCACGAACCGGGGAAACACAAGCUCUGGGGUUCAUAAAGCUGGCGUUAGCAGCCUUGGGGAAAACAGUCUGUUUAUCCCUUGACACAAAAGAAUGGAGUCUUUGUCACUCACCCCCGCUGGACGUUCCUCAGGGAAGUUAGACAAACCAGUUAUCACAAAAAUUGCAUUGCAGGAGUAGAUGCACAGUAGCAUUAUCUUAGAGGGUGCAGAGGGCAACAUUUAACAACUGUCUGACAUUGUCAUAAAUAUAGACAGAGAAGCAGAACUAGGUAGAAAGCUUGCUGUGUUUUAAAAUAGUUAAUUUGUAGAUUGCCCACACACAUAGGAAAUGAAAGCUUAAAUUAAGAAAGAGACAGAGUUAGGGUGCAUGAUCAUUAAAGGAACUGUUUUGAUCAAAACUGUGCAUGAGGGGUGCAGGGGACACAGAGGGCUGAAGAACAGGAAAGUCAGAUGCUGAAUACAAAAGUUAUAAAUGUAACAGACUGAGGGAGCGCCCCUCAGAUCUGCAGGAGGCUGUGCAUAGCUCCCUUCUGGAAGGGUUUGUUGAAUAAAGCAUACAUUUUGAAUACACUGAGUUUGUGUCUUCUUUAUCCAGCCUGAGGGCAAAAGAAUUGGGUCUCAGCAUCUGCUGACCCUGUAACA